RNAcentral lists this ribosomal RNA (493 nucleotides) under uncultured bacterium. RNAcentral describes it as "partial 16S ribosomal RNA". It matches the Rfam family "Bacterial small subunit ribosomal RNA", at positions 29 to 508 of the family's 1533-position model. The record is from RNAcentral.
AGUGAACGCUGGCGGUAGGCCUAACACAUGCAAGUCGAACGGCAGCACAGUAAGAGCUUGCUCUUACGGGUGGCGAGUGGCGGACGGGUGAGGAAUACAUCGGAAUCUACUUUUUCGUGGGGGAUAACGUAGGGAAACUUACGCUAAUACCGCAUACGACCUACGGGUGAAAGCAGGGGAUCUUCGGACCCUGCGCGAUUGAAUGAGCCGAUGUCGGAUUAGCUAGUUGGCGGGGUAAAGGCCCACCAAGGCGACGAUCCGUAGCUGGUCUGAGAGGAUGAUCAGCCACACUGGGACUGGGACACGGUCCAGACUCCUACGGGAGGCAGCAGUGGGGAAUAUUGGACAAUGGGCGCAAGCCUGAUCCAGCCAUACCGCGUGGGUGAAGAAGGCCUUCGGGUUGUAAAGCCCUUUUGUUGGGAAAGAAAAGCAGCAGGUUAAUACCCCGCUGUUCUGACGGUACCCAAAGAAUAAGCACCGGCUAACUUCGUGC